Molecule: ribosomal RNA, 253 nt
Filed under: uncultured bacterium
Lineage: Bacteria
Description: partial 16S ribosomal RNA
Rfam family: Bacterial small subunit ribosomal RNA
Source: RNAcentral
UACGUAGGGGGCAAGCGUUGUCCGGAAUCAUUGGGCGUAAAGAGCGUGUAGGCGGCUUGGUAAGUCCGCUGUGAAAGUCCAGGGCUCAACCCUGGAAUGCCGGUGGAAACUGUCAAGCUUGAGUCCGGAAGAGGCGAGUGGAAUUCCUGGUGUAGCGGUGAAAUGCGCAGAUAUCAGGAGGAACACCAAUGGCGAAGGCAGCUCGCUGGGACGGUACUGACGCUCAUGCACGAAAGCGUGGGGAGCAAACAGG